UACGUAGGGGGCAAGCGUUAUCCGGAUUUACUGGGUGUAAAGGGAGCGUAGACGGCGGGGCAAGUCUGGAGUGAAAGGCCGGGGCCCAACCCCGGGACCGCUCUGGAAACUGCCCGGCUGGAGUGUGCGAGAGGUAUGCGGAAUGCGUGGUGUAGCGGUGAAAUGCAUAGAUAUCACGCAGAACCCCGAUUGCGAAGGCAGCAUACCGGUGCACAACUGACGCUCAGGCACGAAAGCGUGGGUAUCGAACAGG
Molecule: ribosomal RNA, 253 nt
Filed under: uncultured bacterium
Lineage: Bacteria
Description: partial 16S ribosomal RNA
Rfam family: Bacterial small subunit ribosomal RNA
Source: RNAcentral